This 26-nucleotide non-coding RNA is filed under the name Rattus norvegicus (Norway rat). The record is from RNAcentral. Lineage: Eukaryota; Metazoa; Chordata; Mammalia; Rodentia; Muridae.
UGGUUAAGAUGUCUCAUUCAAGGAGA